CAGACUUGCAGUUUUACACCGUUUAUGUUCAAUGUUUGACCGUCCAUCUUAUUUGAAUUUUUUUAUGAUUAGUAUUUUUAUUGUCAUUAGAUGAUAAAACAUAAGCAGUAUUUUAUGUGUGACUAUUUUUUUAAUUUUUUCAUAAAAUUUUCAAAUAAGACGGACGAUCAAACGUUGGACAAAAACCCACGACUAGACUUAAA
Oryza glumipatula is the source of this 203-nucleotide non-coding RNA. The record is from Rfam. NCBI's taxonomy places the organism in Eukaryota, Viridiplantae, Streptophyta, Magnoliopsida, Poales, Poaceae.